RNAcentral lists this transfer RNA (77 nucleotides) under Clostridiales bacterium. Its description in RNAcentral is "tRNA-Arg". It matches the Rfam family "tRNA". From Rfam's summary of the family: Transfer RNA (tRNA) molecules are approximately 80 nucleotides in length. Their secondary structure includes four short double-helical elements and three loops (D, anti-codon, and T loops). The record is from RNAcentral. Lineage: Bacteria; Bacillati; Bacillota; Clostridia; Eubacteriales.
GUACCCGUAGCUCAGUUGGAUAGAGUGCUUGACUACGAAUCAAGAGGUCGCGGGUUCGAAUCCCUCCGGGCGCACCA